Molecule: ribosomal RNA, 489 nt
Filed under: uncultured bacterium
Lineage: Bacteria
Description: partial 16S ribosomal RNA
Rfam family: Bacterial small subunit ribosomal RNA
Source: RNAcentral
UUGAACGCUGGCGGCAGGCCUAACCCAUGCCCGUCGAACGGUAACAGGAAGCAGCUUGCUGCUUCGCUGACGAGUGGCGGACGGGUGAGUAAUGUCUGGGAAACUGCCUGAUGGAGGGGGAUAACUACUGGAAACGGUAGCUAAUACCGCAUAACGUCGCAAGACCCAAGAGGGGGACCUUAGGGCCUCUUGCCAUCGGAUGUGCCCAGAUGGGAUUAGCUAGUAGGUGGGGUAACGGCUCACCUAGGCGACGAUCCCUAGCUGGUCUGAGAGGAUGACCAGCCACACUGGAACUGAGACACGGUCCAGACUCCUACGGGAGGCAGCAGUGGGGAAUAUUGCACAAUGGGCGCAAGCCUGAUGCAGCCAUGCCGCGUGUAUGAAGAAGGCCUUCGGGUUGUAAAGUACUUUCAGCGGGGAGGAAGGGAGUAAAGUUAAUACCUUUGCUCAUUGACGUUACCCGCAGAAGAAGCACCGGCUAACUCCGUG